Molecule: long non-coding RNA, 1098 nt
Filed under: Phasianus colchicus (ring-necked pheasant)
Lineage: Eukaryota; Metazoa; Chordata; Aves; Galliformes; Phasianidae
Description: lncRNA (ENSPCLG00000008215.1)
Source: RNAcentral
GUGUGUGAAACUUACAGGCAGUUCUAUCUCGUAAGCUCCUGGAGAUACUGUUGGCUUUGUUGGGCAGCACCAUACAGAAUUUUUUCUAGCAUACUGGAGAGAAUUGCACAUCUGCUCCCUACUCCGUAGAGGCCAAUAUGGGACUUGAUAGCAGAGGAAUCUCUGUGGGAGUCCAGCUGCUGAGCAAGGCAGGGAAAUUGAAGUUCACUCAUCCAAACCACUCUAACUACAGCAAUUGUGGCACAGCUCUUUAUGGGAAGGCAAGGGAAUGAAAGAACAGCUAAAAACAUUUAAUUCCUCAGGGCUGCACAGGCCUGUGGAAAAUCUCAGCCUUGGGACUGAGAAAAGAGAACAAACCUGAACUCUCUUCCCCAUCAUCAGUAGAAAAACAACUUUGUAAUUCAAAGAUUUUGCUGUUUUAUUGUCAACAGAUUAGAAAGGCAGAGUGAUAUUCCCACUUGUGUCGGGUCGGAUUGCAAUUCAACAUUAAAAUAGAUUUAUAGACAGACAAUCCUAUUUGUGGCAAUUUCUGAACUUUCCUUGACAAAACCAAGGAAAAGUGAUCUAUAAAUCAUCGUGUUACAGAUGUCUAAUGUUAUCCCAGUUGGUUUUAGGAACAGAAAAGGUAUAUUUGUUUCUUCAUUUCCCCACGCUUAUCCUUAAAAUGCAGCUUUGGUUUUAUCUUCGUUAAACAGAAAUGACCUUUCUGUCAGUAGCUUGGCUGAUAACGUUGUGCAAGCCUUUGGCGAUGACUGCGCGCAGUGGGGAUCAUGUUGGAUAUGUGCAGAUCCAUUCUUUCAAAACAAGAAUAGAAACAUAGUUGCACAUUUUUGUGGCCCCAUGUAAAAUUGAAAAUUUUUCAGGUAUUGACAGAAGAAGGAAACCAUUUCCAUCUAAAACUCCUAUUAAAAGCAAGAGGCACUAAAUUCUGCACAUGCUUUUCAUGCUGGCAUAUUAAUGUGUUUUCUGGCCAGUGGCAGUUCUUAGUCUCAGUAGAAGCUCAUAAUUGGAGUUUGCUAUGCUUUUUCUUGGGUGCAAUAAAUUUUUUUGUUUUGGCAAUGUUAUUUCCUCUUUUGCAAGUGGUGAUUUCAUUUUCUC